GACGAACGCUGGCGGCGUGCUUAACACAUGCAAGUCGAACGGAAAGGCCUGCUUUCCCUUGUGGAUUGCGGGUACUCGAGUGGCGAACGGGUGAGUAACACGUGAGUGAUCUGCCCCCAACUUGGGUAUAAGCCUGGGAAACUGGGUCUAAUUCCCGAUAGGACUGCAGGGUGGUGCCUGUGGUGGAAAACGAUUUUCUAGUGGUUGGGGAUGAGCUCGCGGCCUAUCAGCUUGUUGGUGGGGUAAUGGCCUACCAAGGCGGCGACGGGUAGCCGGCCUGAGAGGGUGGACGGCCACAUUGGGACUGAGGUACGGCCCAGACUCCUACGGGAGGCAGCAGUGGGGAAUAUUGCACAAUGGGCGGAAGCCUGAUGCAGCGACGCCGCGUGGGGGAUGACGGCCUUCGGGUUGUAAACUCCUUUCGACCGCGAGGAAGCCACCUGGUUGGAAGGGUGGUGACGGUAGUGGUAGAAGAAGCACCGGCUAACUACGU
This 493-nucleotide ribosomal RNA is filed under the name uncultured bacterium. RNAcentral's name for it is "partial 16S ribosomal RNA". It matches the Rfam family "Bacterial small subunit ribosomal RNA", at positions 28 to 506 of the family's 1533-position model. The record is from RNAcentral.